Molecule: long non-coding RNA, 931 nt
Organism: Acromyrmex echinatior (Panamanian leafcutter ant)
Lineage: Eukaryota; Metazoa; Arthropoda; Insecta; Hymenoptera; Formicidae
Source: RefSeq, a predicted model, not a curated record
GCAACGUAAGCAAUAAAACGCGUUUAUUUAUGCGCUUCAUGCCGAAACGGCGAAUCGAUAUUUUGUGUGAAUUCUCGCGGAAAAAGGACGGCACCCUCAUGCAAUGGCUUCCGUUGUAUCAAUUUUCCGCGUGGCUCAGCUUCGUCUUCAUUCGUGCGGUUUUGCGUUGUAUAAAUCAAAGAGAACAUUCAGCAAACAUAAUUCUGCAAACAAAGAAAGCACCGCCUGAGAACAUUUGCUGCGUUCAUUCCCUCUCGCGACGGCGCGUCUCGCGCGACAGAAUCUCUUCCAUUAUCUCGCGCGCCUCUCUCCUGCAUCAAUGCAUGACGUCAUAAGUGACGAGAGGAAAGAACAGCGGAGGAGCGCGGCACGAAUGCGGUGGAUGAAAAGUCAAGAGGGAGAAACGCAUGGCACUAGGAAGAGACGGAUCGGAGGGGUGGCGAGAAGAACGGGAUGACGCGAGAAGAGGUGUGCGGUGAAGGAGGGGUGACUUCACAACGGGAAGGCGGAUGAAACGUAGUUGAUUCGAAGGGAAACAUAUGCCGAGAAUCCAAAAGAGAGGUAGACGUCGCGACGCCUUGGAUCGAUCGGAGUGUGCGCUCAACUCCAGACCAACAUGGACCGGAUUUACGGGGCUGAAUUGAGUGGAAAAACGAGAACACGAAAGGAACAAAGCUGUCUGGAGUGGCGUAGGCAGGUUGGCUGAAAAGCGCAAGAUGAGCUACCGCGAUGUCUCAAGAAUCCAAUGGCGUUACUCCGACGGACAAAAAGCAGGAUGUUCUUUUUUGAAAAAAACCAUACUAUUAUGAGAUCUCUAAUAUUCAAAUUCAUAAAUGGUUAUUGAAUUAUAAAUUAUCUAUUUACGAAUACGUACACGUACUUAAUAUUACAAAAAACAAUUGUCUUAAUUAUCUUCACUAUAAUACAAAAC